RNAcentral lists this transfer RNA (69 nucleotides) under Bos taurus (domestic cattle). It matches the Rfam family "tRNA". From Rfam's summary of the family: Transfer RNA (tRNA) molecules are approximately 80 nucleotides in length. Lineage: Eukaryota; Metazoa; Chordata; Mammalia; Artiodactyla; Bovidae. The record is from Rfam by way of RNAcentral. RNAcentral also lists the same sequence under 2 other names.
UCCCUGGUGGCUCAGUAGGUAAAGCAUCUGCCUGAAAUGCAGACCUGGGUUCGAUCCCUAGGUCGGGAA